RNAcentral lists this ribosomal RNA (491 nucleotides) under uncultured bacterium. Its description in RNAcentral is "partial 16S ribosomal RNA". It matches the Rfam family "Bacterial small subunit ribosomal RNA", at positions 29 to 507 of the family's 1533-position model. The record is from RNAcentral.
GUGAACGCUGGCGGUAGGCCUAACACCUGCAAGUCGAACGGCAGCACAGUAAGAGCUUGCUCUUACGGGUGGCGAGUGGCGGACGGGUGAGGAAUACAUCGGAAUCUACUUUUUCGUGGGGGAUAACGUAGGGAAACUUACGCUAAUACCGCAUACGACCUACGGGUGAAAGCAGGGGAUCUUCGGACCUUGCGCGAUUGAAUGAGCCGAUGUCGGAUUAGCUAGUUGGCGGGGUAAAGGCCCACCAAGGCGACGAUCCAUAGCUGGUCUGAGAGGAUGAUCAGCCACACUGGAACUGAGACACGGUCCAGACUCCUACGGGAGGCAGCAGUGGGGAAUAUUGGACAAUGGGCGCAAGCCUGAUCCAGCCAUACCGCGUGGGUGAAGAAGGCCUUCGGGUUGUAAAGCCCUUUUGUUGGGAAAGAAAAGCAGCAGGUUAAUACCCCGCUGUUCUGACGGUACCCAAAGAAUAAGCACCGGCUAACUUCGUG